Molecule: long non-coding RNA, 4285 nt
Organism: Oncorhynchus keta (chum salmon)
Lineage: Eukaryota; Metazoa; Chordata; Actinopteri; Salmoniformes; Salmonidae
Exons: 8
Source: RefSeq, a predicted model, not a curated record
AUAAUUUGAGUCAAUUGGAGGUGUACCUGUGAAUGUAUUUCAAGGCCUACCUUCAAACUCAGUGCCUCUUUGCUUGACAUCAUGGGAAAAUUUAAAGAAAUCAGCCAAGACCUCUGAUGUGGAGCCCUCAUGACUGAUCAAGCAUUAGUAUGAAGAACCAAACAUUGUGGAUGAGGACAAACAGGAUCGGGAGGAGGAAAGCGUUAAAGUGGCGUGAUAUUGCCUGAGCAUCAGCAUAACUGAACACAGACAGCAAGAUGUUCAUCAGCAAAGAAAGAGGGUCAGGAAUGGGAGUGGUAUGAGAUCCUCACCUUGUGGCGAGAAGAAGAAUGGUCACAGAAGGACAGACAAGUAGUUUACCAUCAAGGUUGGAGUUGGAGUUAUGUAUGUUAACUUGUUUGUUUCUCAUGCCUUCAACAAAUACUACUCUGAUAAACCGCAUCAAUUCAAAUGAAAUAAUGAAUGAUGAUCAGCAAAAUGUCAAUGGUUCCACAGUGCUCUCCUGGUCUCACAAUCCUAGUGUCAAUACAAGCUAGCUUUAUUAAAUAAAAAUUCUGUUUGUUUCUCAAUAAUGAUGAUUAUGGUGGUUCACUUCUGAACAAUGUUCCAUUUCCUCUUGCAACAUAACUAGCUGCAGCUUUGACUCAGCCAUGAGACAAAUGGAAACUAGGCACCACCGCACAGAGCUGUCAAUUUUAUGAAACCAGAACAUAUGUUUGGCAUGAGUUAAAUAGUGCAAUGAGUAAUAAUGCAGUCAUUUACAUAUCCCAUAAGUGUCUUCCUCUUAUCUAUCAUUGGAGGACACUCCUUCAAGCGAAACAGGUUUUAGUUGGAAGAAGACUUUUUCAAAAGCUCCCAGACAUAGCAUAUACAGCCUUAUUUGACUCUGGAAUAGGACAAUGAACAACAUUUGGCACAGUAAGUAACUUACUCAAGGAUUCAUGUCAACAAGACUUUAAGUUUGGAUUAGAGAACCACCCCAAGACCCAGAGUGAGGAACAGCAUGAGAAGAAUCAAGAUGCUGGCCCCUCUGAGAGUCAGAAUCAUAACAAUUGCCAUCCUCACCAACCUCUAACGAUGCCACAACAAUGUAAAGAAGACCAAUCUGGCACCAAGACAGAGGUGUAUUAUGAAAAACAUUUUCUUCCUUGGAAAUGGAACAUUACAGCCUUGUCUACUUUUUUUAUUUUUGGAAUUCAGAACAACCACGUGGAAUCAACUGUGCCUGUAAAUAGCACGGUGGUCCCGUUUCAGGCUGGGGUGGCGGGUGUGGAUAUACAUCCUCGUCUAGGCUUCAUCUCAAUAGGAUCAUCUCCAGACUGUGUUCAGGCAGCUCUACCUCAUACCGAUGGCUCUUCCUCACAGCAUUCACCUCAACACCAGCUUCUUCAAUGAUGCAGUCAUAACAUCAGGUAUGAAAAGCUCCAGUAGCCUUGGAAGAAGAGAGAAAGUGAAGGAAGAGGCUGCUUUUGAAAACUUUUCUGCUGCUUUUAAGAUGUGUGUGUGUGUGUGUGUGUGUGUGGUAGCUAGGAAAUGUAUGUUUUUGUAUUUAAGUAAAUAUUUGCUAUUACUUAUGCAGUGAGAUGGCCUUUUCAUGUUCCAGUCAAAAUCAUAACACCAAGAGUGCUUUGGUGAUUCCACUCUGAUUGCAGAUCAUAUUUUUUUCUGAUAGAUUAGUUAGCCUUCAAAAUUCUUUACAUAUGAGCAUGAACUAGCCAUAAUAUUAUCGCCUUGAUCACACUGACAGCAUCAUUGUGCAUUGUCUAGAUAUGUGUGCAACAAAAGUUCACCUUCUGCUACCAUUUUUGUCAAGCCGUCUACACAUACAGUUUGACUCAUACGUACGUAUGCACCACACAGAACGCACUGCAACUGCCUCUGCAACGCAAUGCUGUAAGUCAAAUACAACAUUCCAUUGGAAAUGAAUGUACUUCUGGUGUACUAAAACGCAAUGAAGCUGUUGGUGUGACUGAGGCAUUUUAAGUUGGAUUUAUCGAAGAUAUGCGUCAAACUGUAUGCAUAGAGGGCUUGACAGAAAGGGUAGCAGAAGGUGAAUGUUGAAGUUUUGUAGCACACAUUUCAAGAUGAUGCUGCGUACCAUUUUGCUCAAUAACACUGCAGGUGUGAUCAAGGCAUUAUCCAUCGAACUAGCUUACUGCUCAGCUCGUCUCACUACUUUAGCUAAUUAACAUAGAUACAUAGCUAGCUAAUGUUAGCUAACUGGGUCAAUCUUACAAUUUUCUGUCCCCAGGAAAUAUCAGUUCUUAUUUACUGUAAAAUGUGGAUUCCAAAAAGGCAUUAAAUAUAAGGUCAUGUGUCCUUUACCUUAAAAACACCAAAAUGUGGAUCCUGAAAGGGAUUUUUUUUUAAAACACUUUUUAAACACUUUUUGUCAGUGGAUGUAGGUGUUGUUUGGAAUGUCCUCAGGUGUUAUUUAUCAACCACGACAAGAAAUAUAAGCCAUAAAAUAAUAGAAUCUUUAAAAUCUUUCUUCACUAUUUCAUAGUCCUAGUUAAAGUAUUUUGUUUUACUUUAGAAGGUGCCUAAUUCUGCUUAAUGGACCCUGUAUCAUCUGAUGUGUCUCCAGUAUGAUUAUGUAUACACAUGGUUUUAUCAAGGCUUCAUGCCCAAAAUGCAGUAAGCUCCACUGAAAAAUGGAGGGUGGUACAUCUAGGCAUAGUAGUAACGAAUUCUAUGAGACUCUGCAUUACUAUAAAUUAUAAAGGUACCUGUAUCCGGCUGUUAAGGGAGCUCCAAAUUACGUAAGGCCUGGCCGUUUGUUUGUUCUUGCACAUUGUUUUACCAAACACACAUCUGCAUACACACACACCACCCGUCUAUACAAAAAUAUUUGUUUGUAGUGUUAAAACCGUGUCUGGUUUAUUGUGUGAGUGUUUCUACUUUGUUUUAGUAGGUUCUUCACAGGUUAAAAAGGAUGUACCUUAAAAUAUCUAUUGUCUGAAUUUUGAAUGAACACAUGUAAGUUCUCCUGAUGAGAAAUGCACUGAAGAACCCAAUGUAAACCUGCUAAAGAGAAUCUUUGAAAUGUUUUACAAUAAUGAGUCUGAAGUAAAGGGAAAGAAAAGUUAAAGAACAGACUCAAAGAACAGGUUUUGAAUGACCUCUGUUCUGACUUUCUGAUCUGUUCACCCUCGCUAGAAAGAUCAGGGACAUUGGUUGAAAUUUACAUUUACAUUUACAUUUAAGUCAUUUAGCAGACGCUCUUAUCCAGAGCGACUUACAAAUUUCUCCUGCACAAAUAAUCUUUCAGGAAAAACUGAACAUUUGCUAUCUAACUGAGAGUCUCCUCAUUGAAAACAUUCGAAGUUCUUCAAAGGUAAAUUAUUUUAUUUUAAUGCUUUUCUGGUUUUUGUGAAAAUGUUGCCUGCUGAAUGCUAACUCUAAAUGCUAAUGCUAGCUAUCAAUAUCUAUCAAUACGAUUACACAAAUGCUAGUUUUGCAAUGGUUGAGAAGCAUAUUUUUGAAAAUCUGAGAUGACAGUGUUGUUAACAAAAGGCUAAGCUUGAGAGCUAGCAUAUUGAUUUCAUUUCGAAUAGUUAACGCUGCGUUAUGGUAAUGAGCUUGAGGCUGUAGUCACGAUCCCGGAUCCGGGAUCCAAGAAGUUAAGUGUCAGUUGUGUCCCUCCUGUCUGGUCUCAGUGUUAUUAAUGUCUGCUUCCUGUUCCUGCCCUGUCUGAUAGCACAGGAGAGAGCGAGGGACCGCUGUCUCUAGUCUAUUUGACUAUUCCUUGAAUUCCUGAAUUAUAUCAAAGUAUUCCCUUAUGAGUUAUCAAGGGUUGUAAUUCAAAUGUUAUUUGUUGUUCAGAUUUGUUUAUUUUUAUUUAACCGGCACUGUUGUGUUACCUUGGAUGCAUGAAUCACAGUGUGGCUUGAAGCCUUCCCCACAUUAAAUAAGGAAGCAAAGACUGUGGCUUAAUGCCUGCUACAUGAUAUUGUUCCACGAUUCAGUAUACCACAAAGUCUAGAUGGCAAUAAGGGGACACAUUUCAACUCAAAGAUAAUAAAUGAACUGUGUGACAUUGUCACGUCUGCUCCUGCUCCUCCCCCCCGGGUUACGACGGCGCCAGAGUUCUAACCACCGGUCCUGAGAUUCAUCAUUACGCACACCUGGACUCCAUUACCUUCAUCAUAUUCCUCCCCUUUGCAUGUCACUCUCCCAUGUUUACUCACCAGUUGGUAUUGUUCUUGUGUAUCGGCGUAGUGCCUUAUGUUAGUGUCGUGUUCUUGGUUUUGUUGUUUUAUUAAAACGUUUCACCUGCACCUGC